UUUGCUGCUGUGUGGUAUUCUAUAGAGUACAUGCCCCAUCAUUUCUUUAUCCAGUCUACUGUUGAUGGGCAUUUGGGUUGAUUCCAGGUCUUAGCUAUUGUGAAUUGAGCUGCAAUAACCAUUGAAGUGCAGACAGCUUUUUUGUUUGUCAAUUUAAUUUCCUUUGGGUAAAUUCCAAGGAGUGGGAUGGCUGCGUUGUAUGGUAGGGUUAUAUUCAGGUUUCUGAGGAAUCUCCAAACUGACUUCCAUAGUGGCUUUAUCAGUUUGCAUUCCCACCAACAGUGGGUCAGUGUCCCUUUUUCCAGUGGGGUGGGUAUUGUGGUAUGAUAGGUUAAGCUGCUGCUUGAGAUGCCCACAUCCCAUAUUGGAGUGCUGGCUCGAGUCCUGGAUUCUGUGUUGCUGAUCCAGCAUCCUGCUAAUGUGCCUGGAAAGGCAGAAGGUGUCCCAAGUAGUUUGGUUCUUGCCACCCACAAAAAAGACCUGGGUAGAGUUCCUAGCUCCUGGCUUCAGUCUGGACCAGUCCAAGCUGUUAUGGCCAUUUGUGGAAUGAACCAGUGGAUGGAAGAUCUCUGCGUGUGUGUGUCACUCUACCUUUCAGAUGAGUCAAUUCACAGAGCUUUAAGGGUGCUGGAAGCAGCUUUCUCAGCUGCUUCAUAGUGGGGCUCAUCAUAAGCCCGAAGAGAUCGGCUGAUGGACCAGCAGGUAGAACUAAGUGCCUGCUGUGGGGUGAUUGAGACACACUACUCCCCCUGAAGCCUGCAGUUAAGAUCUGGGACAACUGAAAAGCUGGAAAAAGGUAUGUGGGCUCGUUUUGGACUGUGUUUUUCCCUUUGAAAAAAUAGAAGAUGAGCCCAAGUGUACUUCAGGCAAGAGAAUGCAAUGGAGCUGGGGGAUUUACAAAGACUCUGCUGAUUAAUCCAUCAUAUUCUGACAACUGAAUUCCCAGAAACCGAGUAUUAGACUUUCGCACAAAGUGACGUUUUGACUGGAAUCUUUCAAGUCUAAACAUAUGAACAGUUGGGAGGAGGACUGCCCCAUGGUGGGUCCUCAAAGAAGAGUUGCUACAGGUGAAAAGAACGUGGUCGAGCUGCUCUGUGGUUACCACUGCAUCCUCCCACCCCCAGCAUCAGCAUCAUCCCAUGCUGCUGGUGUCCAGGAGGACACAGCGAUGACAGCACGAACAGUGGUGUGGACAAGACAAACCCACAGUGCAUCAAAGUGCCACGAAAGCCCGUGCAGCACUGAGAUAAAGACCACCGUCUUGUAGCUAUUUGCCGUGAUGAGUACACUGCUAUAAAUCAGCCACGCAGGGAGAGGGUUUUUAUUGCCAUAAUUGCCAUCUGAGAUUAUUUUGCUGCCUAACUCAAGUAGAUGAGAAGAGACUAAUGUUUGUAACAGUCCUGAAACCCUACCUUAGGCAUCCAUUACUACACGAUUUUAGUUUUGAAUCAGUUCAAGCCUUAUUUCCAGUUCUGAUGUUCACAUCCCCAUAAGUAAGAGGAGGAUCAAUAGUAAAAGGAAACCAGCAAAUUGUAGGCUUUGCAAUAAAUCUAAGGUAUUACGUGGACAUAAUUUAAACAGUUGUUUUUCUUUUCCUGAAGAAUAAACACAUAAUAGGAGGGAAAAAAUGAGGCUCUAAAGGGAUUAUGCAUUCCUAAAUAUUUUAUAGCUGUGUUAAAUGCAAUGUUGUGCUUUGGUUCCACGGCUGAAUAUUUGCUGAUGUUCAUUUACUCACCAACUGCAAGCCCAAAAGACGCUAUUUGAGGUUUUUUGUGUGGUUUUAGUCUUGGCCCUUCUGUCAGUGCUUCACUGCAUGAUGGUAAAGAGCAACUCUUUGCAUGUGAGAAGACAGAUGUUGGUGAUUUAAGCAGGAAAAUGCACCACCGUGCUUUUACUCAGCUGAUACUUAAUGAUUUACCAUUUAAUGUAGUUCAUCUCUCAUAACCCUGAGUUCAAACAGAAGCAGCUGCUGUUAGGGAUGCAAUAACAUUGAACUUCCCACCAACGACCUGGGAGAGCUUCUUCUGUAGCUUUAGCUCCUGGGCUUCUCUGGCCUUUCCCCUAAGCACGACAACUGAGGGGGAGAAACAUUACUUCCCGUCAGUGGAGUCUUGGACAGAAUGUAUAAUUAUGCCAGAUAAAGAUUUUCAAAUCAAAACUCCUUAUAUGAACAUCACUCUGCAGCUGUGGAGGACCAAACAACGCACUUCGUCUCAUUAGCGAAAGAACAUGCAGGAAAUUCAGAAAACACAUGAAAAGUCAUACCUAGUUGAAAUCAAUUCAAAGGGUAGAGGUGUCCCUGCUUUCAACCCCAGAUUCUAUGACUCCCCUGUGAGAAGAGGAAUUCUGGUUUUUGUGGCCUGCCUUCGAGGAGAGAAGGAAAAAAGAAGGACAGGAGACAGUCAAAAGGAGAUUUUUGCACCUGAGGCCCUUUCAAUGUUCUUCAGUCUAAAAUACUCAGAGUACCAAAGCAUCAUACUUUGGGGUAUUAUCUUCUGAGUCCCAACAACAUGGUGGUAUAUUGCUGAAAGGAUGUACAGAGGAACAAUCCAUUCGGGGAAGUUGAGAGAAGAGAAAGGUGUCCAUUUGUGAUUUGAUUAAUGAAGAUUCGCUGUCAUUAGCACACCUGCUCUCAUCAGAAGAGACGGACUUCAUCUAAAGCAGGAACAUGAUCAGGACCUGUUUCCAACACAGUAGCACGCCUUGGUGCAGGGGUGUUUUCACUUCACAGAUGUUUGAAGUAACUUGGCACUCAGCCUCCAAACUUGGAAUUCAUUUGGCAUCCAAAUUUCUGUUUCAUAGCCAUGUGACUAUCUAAUGUGUCAUAAAUAGAAGAGAUUUCUCUGGAUUUUGGAGCCGUAUCCUGGGUCUACCCUCACUACCUAAUAUAUACCGUGUUUCAGGAUAUAGUCACAGAUUCCACAUACUUACUGCAGUCCAUUAUUUAAGACCAUGUAUUUAUCAGACUUGUAGAGCAGCUAACUGGUAUGAAUAUGUCAGCUUUUUGCGGGUUUCUUCUUUACCUCUUAUGUACAUUUACUUGUAUUUUAGUAGCAGAUACAUCAGUGAGCAUGGGGUAAAACAUACCACACAGAUACUGAAGGGGAAAGAAAAAAGGUUUGGAGUUCAGGUAAUUCACCACCUGGGACAUUCAUGAAGCCACAAUCAAUAAUAGACAGAAUAUUGGUUGAAGUUAUUAGGCGUGUGUAAGUCUGUGUGUGUGUGUGUGUAACUGCUAUAUUUUAACACAAGUCCACGGAACCAGUAUUUUUCAGACUGAUGAAAAAAUUUGACACUUCUAUCUGAUCACUGUUCCUAGUAGACCUGGAAAGGCCACUUCAAAACCGCUUAAGCCUCCACAUUAUUUCCUAUUUGAUUUAAAGAAAUAGAAAGUCAUGUAUUGGUACAAGCUGUUGCUACUUUAUUUCAUUGGCCCCUUCCACAUGCACUGAUGGGCAUCUGAGAACAGAAAAUCUAGCUGUGAUUUAGGACCCCAAAUCAUGCAGUCCAGUUUUCCUUUGGCAGAGAUAUCUGAAGCGAUCUUGU
Oryctolagus cuniculus (rabbit) is the source of this 3546-nucleotide non-coding RNA. NCBI's taxonomy places the organism in Eukaryota, Metazoa, Chordata, Mammalia, Lagomorpha, Leporidae. The record is from RefSeq and is a predicted model, not a curated record.